GUGAGUUCAUAGCCAAGGCAGAGACAGUUGUAGCCCUGCCGAGACUUCAGUGGAAAACCACAGAGCAACUGUUGAAGCUUUGAGCAGAGGGAGGAGCCAGGGCCAGCCAGCCGCCAGCCAGCAGACAGAAGCAGGAGGAGCAGGACAUACAGAAGGAAAGAAAGAAUCAUGCGUUUUGUGAUUCAUCUGGUUUAACCAGGGCCAUCCGUGUGACCCCUGAACUUGAACCAUCCACCGGAGAUGGCAAGAGUCAUGACUUGGUAUAGACCAUAAGCGCCCAAGGGCCAUCACGGAAAAGAUAGAAGAAAGAUGUUAAGAGGCAGAGACCUGGGAGGAAUGGAAGAAGCAUCAUCCUGGAUGUGAGAGGACAAGAGGAACUCUGUGCUCACACACUCACAGCGGCUGUGGUUACCUGCACAAGAUCAAACUGGCUAGCAUUCCAGCAUGAAGUGGGAAGGGCUCAUUACCUUCUACCCCGCGCUGAGGAGAUUUUUAGUAAUUGAAAGCUGCUGGAAGAGGAAGAGUCGGUGUUCUUUAAGGGUAUAGGCCCCGAUUGGCAACAAUUCACUCAUAGAUCGCCCCAUACCCCUGAGGAUAUGGGCAGCAUGAAUUGGACUAAUAGGUUAUUAAAGUAAGAAGACACGAAGUUGGGGGGAGAUAGAUCUAUGAGGAGCUAAGGAGGAAGUAGAUGGGUAAACACUGUAAAAUAUACUGUAUGUGUGUAUGAGACUCUCAAAGAGUUAACAAAAUGUAUCUUAUUUUUUUUUAAAGAAGGGCCCUUCAGGAAGAUGAUUAAAUCAUGAGACUGGAGCCCUUGUGAUUAGGAUUACUGAAAGACUCCAGGGGUAGCGUUCUCUUUCCUCUGAUGGAGAAGAUAUUUUUAAGAAAGAAUGGUUCCUAUCCAGAAUCUACAAGUACCUCUCCACCUUCCCAAAUGCUGAGAAGAAAGAAAUAGAUUUAUCUGUGUAAAAAAUGCCAAGUCCUUGGUAUUUUAUUAUAGUUUCCAGAUAAGGAAAGUUAAAGUGUUAUUUCCUCACUAUAGAGCUACUAUACUUUUAUCUUCACCAUUUUAAUGGUGCAUCAUCUACCAGAAUUUUCCCUACCCCUACUGUCUGCUGACUAGCCAGUCUCUAUUUAUCAGAAAAACUUUGAUACAUAUGAAGAGAAUAUUAAAUAGGUCAUUAGUUUGUCGAGAUCAGGAAUUACAUUAAGUCUGCUGUCAGCUAUGUCUUAGCAUAUAAUCAAAAAUAUUCUUUUGAAGCAUUAGAUUUUCAUAACUUAACCAAUAUUGGCAUUAAUACCAUUCUUAUAUUCAGGCUUGCAAGGAUUAUAAGUGUAUUUUUCUGAAUGCAAGUACAUUUCCAAUACUAUUUCUCACCGCUUCUUAUUAUGGCGAGGGACAUUUAAUCUUAGAAGACUCAGGCUUCCUCCCUUCCCCAGGAUUGCAUCUGAGUCUUUGGGAUUCACUUGGUGCCAAGGAGAGAAGGUGGCACUGGAGCCAUUGUCACAGGUUUCAGGUUGUUGCUCCUGUUCCUGUUCGUGUGACACUUCUUUGCUCUCCACAAGCUCAGAGAGUCAUUUCCUCUCUGUCAAGCCAGACCUUCUUUCUCUUCUUUUCUAGUCCUAAAAGCUGAAUCUCAACACACAAGAGUGCUCCAUUUAGCUGAAAUUUCUGCAACAUUCUCUCCACCUUGUGUUCCAAGUUCUGUUUAAUCUCUCAGGACUUCACACCUUUUAUAGAGAAGAGGUGCGGGGGCUAUUCUGCUUCUGUUUGCAGUCAUAGACUCCCUGUUCCUUGUGGUGAGUACAGAGUGCCUGAGAAACUUUAUCGAAACCUGGAUGGUGAGGGUAAGAUGAGAGGAAAAGAAAAACCUCCCCAGAGGAAGACAACUCAGGGUUUGUAAAAACACGAUGUUCUUGGAGGCUUGUGUUCUAUCAUAAAUAUACAAAUGAAUUCUCUACUCUAUAAAAAUUUAUUCAUUCACAAUACAGAACUAUCUAUAAUGUUUCCAGUGGGAGCUAUAUGAAUUGUAAAAUAAAAUGGAUAUACGUAGAAA
Non-coding RNA from Myodes glareolus (Bank vole), 2057 nucleotides. The record is from RefSeq and is a predicted model, not a curated record. NCBI's taxonomy places the organism in Eukaryota, Metazoa, Chordata, Mammalia, Rodentia, Cricetidae.